GCCGGGGCUUCUUCUGCAGGUACCGUCAUUAUCUUCCCUGCUGAAAGAACUUUACAACCCUAAGGCCUUCAUCGUUCACGCGGCAUGGCUGGAUCAGGGUUGCCCCCAUUGUCCAAGAUUCCCC
RNAcentral lists this ribosomal RNA (124 nucleotides) under uncultured bacterium. RNAcentral's name for it is "partial 16S ribosomal RNA". The record is from RNAcentral.